RNAcentral lists this ribosomal RNA (301 nucleotides) under uncultured bacterium. RNAcentral's name for it is "partial 16S ribosomal RNA". It matches the Rfam family "Bacterial small subunit ribosomal RNA", at positions 509 to 807 of the family's 1533-position model. The record is from RNAcentral.
CAGUAGCCGCGGGAAUACGGAGGGUGCAAGCGUUAAUCGGAAUUACUGGGCGUAAAGCGCACGCAGGCGGUCUGACAAGUCAGAUGUGAAAUCCCCGGGCUUAACCUGGGAACUGCAUUUGAAACUGUCAGGCUGGAGUCUUGUAGAGGGGGGUGGAAUUCCAGGUGUAGCGGUGAAAUGCGUAGAGAUCUGGAGGAAUACCGGUGGCGAAGGCGGCCCCCUGGACAAAGACUGACGCUCUGGUGCGAAAGCGUGGGGAGCAAACAGGAUUAGAUACCCCUGUAGUCCCUGUCUCUUAUAC